GAGCAACGCCGCGUGAGUGAUGAAGGCUUUCGGGUCGUAAAACUCUGUUGUUAGGGAAGAACAAGUGCUAGUUGAAUAAGCUGGCACCUUGACGGUACCUAACCAGAAAGCCACGGCUAACUACGUGCCAGCAGCCGCGGUAAUACGUAGGUGGCAAGCGUUAUCCGGAAUUAUUGGGCGUAAAGCGCGCGCAGGUGGUUUCUUAAGUCUGAUGUGAAAGCCCACGGCUCAACCGUGGAGGGUCAUUGGAAACUGGGAGACUUGAGUGCAGAAGAGGAAAGUGGAAUUCCAUGUGUAGCGGUGAAAUGCGUAGAGAUAUGGAGGAACACCAGUGGCGAAGGCGACUUUCUGGUCUGUAACUGACACUGAGGCGCGAAAGCGUGGGGAGCAAACAGGAUUAGAUACCCUGGUAGUCCACGCCGUAAACGAUGAGUGCUAAGUG
Molecule: ribosomal RNA, 442 nt
Filed under: Bacillus cereus
Lineage: Bacteria; Bacillati; Bacillota; Bacilli; Caryophanales; Bacillaceae
Description: bacterial SSU rRNA
Rfam family: Bacterial small subunit ribosomal RNA
Source: RNAcentral